GCCAUAGCUCUGAUUUGACCCCUGGCCUGGGAACCUCCAUAUGCUGUGGGUGUGGCCCUAAAAAGCAAAAGAAAGAAAGGAAGGAAGGCCCGCAUAGUCACCUCGCUAAGAUAUAGGAGAGGCAGAGCCUGAAGCGUGCCUUUGGACUCCCAGUUGCAUUAUUUUGUCCCUGUUGCUUUAUCUCGUGGUUUCCCCAGCAGGUGACAUGUGCUUUGGGACGAAGAGAUGAAGGGAGAGAGAGAUUUGAGACGUCACCACUGUCCCUUCUUACCGAGACCCCACGUUCUAGUUUCAUGUGCUCCAAACACCCUCCCCACAGCCUUCUCAUUUAAUUUCCUUUUUUGCUGAGAUACGAUUCACUCAUGACAAAGCUCACCCCGUGAAAGCGUACAGUUCCCUGCGUUUGAGGAUAUUCAGAAGGUGGUGGCUUUGCCACCAGCAUCGAAUUCCAGAACGUUUCCAUUCAUGAAUGUCCACUGUUUUUGUUUUGCAGAUUCCAAUCAUGCGAGACCCUGGAUGGAUUCGAAACGUGUGGUCGUCCAACAUUAACGUGAGUGGAAUUGCUCCGAACACCCUGAUGGUGCUUUGACGUUUCAAGAUGAGGGAACAUCCCCUUUGACACACGGGCGCGAUGCCUCGGGUCCACGUGGUCCCUGACCCAGAACUCUGCCACUGGACGGCAGCUUUCACCCGUGCCUUGUGGCCCUUCCUAAAGGUCUGAGGAGCCCCAGCUGGAGCUCAGAACCUUUGGGCUGGCUCCUGAUCUUGUCUCAGGCAUAGAUCGGAUUUUGUUACCCUCCCAAUUGGCAUUCAGUGGUGCCCUGGUGCCAAUAGGAAAAGGUUCCUAGCAAGUUCAUGAUGUUUGUUUGUCCUUGACGGGCGCUCCUAUGUAAUUACUAAAAGCCCUGGCAGGGGGCCCCAAACCCCUCAAAGCCCUCUGCACGUUCUGCCUCUUCUUCCUGCAUCCAGUGGCCCCUUUGUCCUCCAGUCUUCUGGUCACUGCCUUGUGCCUGGUCCCCAGGCCUCAGCCAGGCCUUUCAGGUUGUCUCUGUGACUCUACUUAGUGCUUUGUUCUCUGAUACUUUGGGGUGUCCCUAGACCGAGGGCCAGCACCCCCUCUCAUGUCCAUUCCAGCUUCCAGAAGCUGUUCGGGAAUCUGGCUCACUGAGCCUCUGUAGUCUGGGGGGAUAUUUUGCUGAAGGACCCUUGGCUGUGGUCCCCCUGCGUCCGAGUUCCUUUCUCACAGUGCAUCCGUCUCGCCCUCGCCUUGCCCUGGACGAGACCUUAAGCUUCGGCAGCUUCAUACAGAUCCCUCUACCCAGAGAUCUUAUACCUGAGGUCCUUUCCUGCGGAGGAGAGGCUUGAAGGAAUCCGUUUAGGAGUGGCGAGGCUCAGGAAAAGCGUUUUGGAAUAAUCCCAGGAGGAAGUGAUAAGCCCGAACGUGUCUUUGUCACGACCGUGGCCUGUGCUCAGCUUUGGGCAUGUCGAAUAAAAGUGAACACUUGGUCUCCCUGUCAAAGAGCUCAGGCUGGGGACGGACUGUGGGCCCAGAGGAUUUUCAGAGGACCCAGGAGGCCUCGAGCCAGGAUGAGAGAGUCUCCCUCGAGGUGAAUCCAGGGGCUCCAGUUCAAUGGAUGAAGAAGGCCUGGCCCCAGGGAUGCUGGGAGGAGCAGGAGUUCUAGUUCUCAGUGGAUUGACAGGGACGGGGCCCAAUCAGAGGCCAGGGAUCCUGAGCAGGCCAGCCAGUUAGUGGCAGUUGAGUCUGGAGUGAGGGGAGCCGUCCUCCAUGGAGGGGAGGGGCAGGGAGUCUGGUAAGUGAGCGGCUCUGCCGGGGGAAGGAGUGCGCUGGUGUCCGAGGCUGCUGUCCAUGGCCAGGUCCCAUUUUCCAGAGAGGGGGCCAGAGCCCACAGCCACCAGGUUUUCAGGCUCAGCCUCCGGCCUAAGGUGCAGGGCAUUGGCUAUGGUGUAUAAGAGGGGCUGGAGUUCCCGCUGUGGCUCAGCAGGUUCUGAACCCGACUAGUCUCCAUGAGGAUGCAAGUUCGAUCCCUGGCUUUGCUCAGGGGGUUAAGGAUCCGGCGUUGCCAUGAGCUGUGGUGUGGGUCGCAGACACCACUCGGAUCCCACUUUGCUGUGGCUGUGGUGUAGGCCGGCAGCUGCAGCUCUGAUUGGACCCCUAGCCUGGGAACCUCCAUAUGCCGUGGGUGUGCAGGGGUGGCCCUGAAAAGCAAAAAAGAGAGAGAGAGAGGCUGGGAAGGAGAGGCAGUCAGCAGGGCCUCUACCCCCAGGCCCGCCGGGGGCCCCCACUGGACAGGAACCAAGUAAAAUGUCAAGUGAGAAGUUUCUGCUUCAAGGGCAAAAUGAUGCAAAAUCUUUACCAUCUCAGCAGGGGCACUGGAUUAGGACUCUGGAGUUCUGGUCACAGCUUUGCCAUGCAGGGCCUGUGUGACACUGGGCAGGUUCUCCGGUCCUCUGCGCUUCGGUUCCUCGAGGGUACGUUAGCAGGUCAUCAGCAGACAGUAGGCACUGGGGGCGCUUGCUCUUUCCCGCAAGGCAGGCGGGAGAAGAGAUGACAGUUUAUAGCGCAGCGUGGGUGGGCGGGGAGGUUAGAAGCAGUUCAGAAAAAAAGCUUCCAAGAGAAAGUGAGUCUUUUUAUACAGAGUCGUGAAAGAGGCCUGAGUUGGCCAGGCAGGGGGUGAGAACUGGAUCGUGUGAUUGGAAGAGGGGGACGUGGGGGAGGGCCAUGGGGGAGGAGCAAGCGGGGUGCCAGUGAUGGGGAGGGGGCUGGCUUGCUUUCCUGAUGGCCUUGGACUUUACCCUACAAGUCACGGUAAUGGACGGGGGUUGGCAUGGCCGGGCCUUAAGCAGGCGGUGCCAUGUCAGAUCUGCUCAUUCAUGGGUAUCACGGGGUGAGGCUGGGGGCAGGGAGACCCACGAAUUGUUCAUCGUUAGCCUGGCUGAGUGUGACGGGCUUGUGGCCCAUCCAAAUGGAAGUGUCCAGAAGGUAGCUGAAUGCAUGAUCUGGAGCCGAGGGACAGGUCUGGCCUGGAAGUCGGGAACCAUGGGUCAAUCCUAGAUCAAGGUCACUGAGGUCUCCCUGGGGGACAGAAUUACCCAGGGACUGUGUACAGCAUGGGGAGGUGGGUGAGGCCAUAUAGGCAGGUUUCCUGGCGGAACUUCUACUGUCACAGCUUUCGGUUAUUUUUAGAUUGUUAUCUUUCGAAGGUAGGUUCGUGAAUCCCAAAAAUGGAUGGAGAGGGAAUUUGGUGUUAGUAGAUGCAAAUUAUUCCAUUUAGAAGAGAUAAGCAGUUCCCGUCCUGGCUCAGCAGAAACGAACCUGACUAGCAUCCAUGAGGACGUAGGUUCAAUCCCUGGCCUUGCUCAGUGGGUUAAGGAUCCGGUGUUGCCUUGAGCUGUGGUGUAGGUCGCAGAUGUAGCUCGGAUCCUGCAUUGCUGUGACUGUGGUGUAGGCCGGCAGCUGUAGCUCCGAUUGGACCCCUAGCCUGGGAACCUCCACGUGCUGCAGGUGUGGCCCUAAAAAGACAAAAGACUAAAAGAAGAGAGAAUGGAUAAGUAAUGAGACCCU
RNAcentral lists this long non-coding RNA (3583 nucleotides) under Sus scrofa (pig). Its description in RNAcentral is "lncRNA (ENSSSCG00015056406.1)". Lineage: Eukaryota; Metazoa; Chordata; Mammalia; Artiodactyla; Suidae. The record is from RNAcentral.